AACGCGAAGAACCUUACCUGGGCUCGAACGGCUUUGGAACAGCGGUAGAAAUACUGCCUUCCCGCAAGGGACCGGAGUCGAGGUGCUGCAUGGCUGUCGUCAGCUCGUGUCGUGAGAUGUUGGGUUAAGUCCCGCAACGAGCGCAACCCUUGUCCUGUGUUGCCACUCCGUAAGGAAGCACUCGCAGGAGACCGCCAGCGAUAAGCUGGAGGAAGGUGGGGAUGAUGUCAAGUCAUCAUGGCCUUUAUGUCCAGGGCUACACACGUGCUACAAUGGGCGGUACAAAGCGCUGCAAACCCGCGAGGGGGAGCUAAUCGCAAAAAACCGUUCUCAGUUCGGAUCGCAGGCUGCAACUCGCCUGCGUGAAGCUGGAAUCGCUAGUAAUGCCGUAUCAGAAUGAUGGCGUGAAUACGUUCCCGGGCCUUGUACACACCGGCUAC
RNAcentral lists this ribosomal RNA (440 nucleotides) under uncultured bacterium. RNAcentral describes it as "bacterial SSU rRNA". It matches the Rfam family "Bacterial small subunit ribosomal RNA", at positions 958 to 1397 of the family's 1533-position model. The record is from RNAcentral.